Molecule: ribosomal RNA, 585 nt
Filed under: uncultured bacterium
Lineage: Bacteria
Description: partial 16S ribosomal RNA
Rfam family: Bacterial small subunit ribosomal RNA
Source: RNAcentral
UGGGGAAUUUUGGACAAUGGGCGAAAGCCUGAUCCAGCAAUGCCGCGUGUGUGAAGAAGGCCUUCGGGUUGUAAAGCACUUUUGUCCGGAAAGAAAUCCUUGGCUCUAAUACAGUCGGGGGAUGACGGUACCGGAAGAAUAAGCACCGGCUAACUACGUGCCAGCAGCCGCGGUAAUACGUAGGGUGCAAGCGUUAAUCGGAAUUACUGGGCGUAAAGCGUGCGCAGGCGGUUUGCUAAGACCGAUGUGAAAUCCCGGGCUCAACCUGGGAACUGCAUUGGUGACUGGCAGGCUAGAGUAUGGCAGAGGGGGGUAGAAUUCCACGUGUAGCAGUGAAAUGCGUAGAGAUGUGGAGGAAUACCGAUGGCGAAGGCAGCCCCCUGGGCCAAUACUGACGCUCAUGCACGAAAGCGUGGGGAGCAAAACAGGAUUAGAUACCCUGGUAGUCCACGCCCUAAACGAUGUCAACUAGUUGUUGGGGAUUCAUUUCCUUAGUAACGUAGCUAACGCGUGAAGUUGACCGCCUGGGGAGUACGGUCGCAAGAUUAAAACUUAAAUGAAUUGACGGGGUCAUAGCUGUUUCCU